CCUACGGGUGGCAGCAGUGAGGAAUAUUGGUCAAUGGACGAGAGUCUGAACCAGCCAAGUCGCGUGAAGGAUGACUGCCCUAUGGGUUGUAAACUUCUUUUAUAUGGGAAUAAAAUGUUCCACGUGUGGGAUUUUGUAUGUACCAUAUGAAUAAGGAUCGGCUAACUCCGUGCCAGCAGCCGCGGUAAUACGGAGGAUCCGAGCGUUAUCCGGAUUUAUUGGGUUUAAAGGGAGCGUAGGUGGAUUGUUAAGUCAGUUGUGAAAGUUUGCGGCUCAACCGUAAAAUUGCAGUUGAAACUGGCAGUCUUGAGUGCAGUAGAGGUGGGCGGAAUGCGUGGUGUAGCGGUGAAAUGCUUAGAUAUCACGAAGAACUCCGAUUGCGAAGGCAGUUCACUGGACUGCAACUGACACUGAGGCUCGAAAGUGUGGGUAUCAAACAGGAUUAGAUACCCGUGUAGUC
Molecule: ribosomal RNA, 460 nt
Filed under: uncultured bacterium
Lineage: Bacteria
Description: partial 16S ribosomal RNA
Rfam family: Bacterial small subunit ribosomal RNA
Source: RNAcentral